GCCGGGCAUGGCGGUGCGUGCCUAUAAUCCCAGCUACUCGGGAGGCUGAGGCAGGAGGAUCACUUGAGUGCAGGAAGUCUGAGCCCUUCAGGUGUCCACAUUAAGUUCGGCAUCUAUAUGGUGAUCUCCUGGGAGCGAGGGACCACCAGGUUGCCUGAGGAGGGGUGAACCGGUCUAGGUGGGAAACAGAGCAGGUCAGAACUCUCAUGUUGAUCAGUCGUGGGAUCACACCUGUGAACAGCCACCACACUCCAGCCUGGGCAACACAGUGAGAUCCCAGCUCUU
Chlorocebus sabaeus (green monkey) is the source of this 285-nucleotide non-coding RNA. It matches the Rfam family "Metazoan signal recognition particle RNA". Rfam says of the family: The signal recognition particle (SRP) is a universally conserved ribonucleoprotein. It is involved in the co-translational targeting of proteins to membranes. Lineage: Eukaryota; Metazoa; Chordata; Mammalia; Primates; Cercopithecidae. The record is from Rfam.